This is a non-coding RNA of Paramuricea clavata, 984 nucleotides long. Lineage: Eukaryota; Metazoa; Cnidaria; Anthozoa; Malacalcyonacea; Plexauridae. The record is from the annotation of a GenBank genome assembly.
ACUUAACAUAGAGAUAGAUGAGACGUUACUUAAGAUUCCGAAAAGCAGAGUUCCCCACAAUCGGUGUAGAAAAAUAUUUCAGACGUUAGGUUGGGAAUAUAUCGAGUAAUUUUAACGCUUUUUACCAAGCAUUAAAAUUGAAAUAGUAAUUUUAGGGCGAUGAUGACGAGAAGAAUCUCAACCGUUAUUGGGAUGAGUAGGCAGAACACCAGACUCGUCCACGUUAGUCUCCGUAAUGUUUGAGUUCUCGUCAUUUACUUUAACGUACUUUUUUACCGUUGCGCUGACAUAUCCGAUUUGGGUGUGAGCGUUGAUGGUAAGAUCACCGCGUUCUAUACCGAUUCCGAAACUGAACAUUUUUCUUUUCCGGCGGUUUUUGUCGUACUUGGUCUCAGGUUUUGUGGAUAAACAUCCCAUUUUAUUUAUUCUUCUUUUUUUCUCCUCAUUUGCGGUCUUUGCUGACGGUCCCGCUUUGCCUUCCUUACAUGACGCAACGUAUCUGAUGUUGGUUAUUUUGGAUUUAAUGUAACCGAGAUUCAGUCCGCCUUUGUUAAGGUUUAUGUCAACGUUGAUGGUUUUAUCCUUUUUUAAUUUCUUCUUAACUUUGCUGCUGCCGCUAUUCAUCCUUUAUUAAUACGAAAAGAAAAUCCACCUUGAAGUUACGAUUCCACUAACGAUCAGAUUGUUUGAUGCAAUCGGGACGCUUGCCGUGUUAGGGUUCUGGUCUCUGCGCGGUGUAGGGUUUGGACUUACCCCUGGACUCACCUUUGCCUUCUUCGGUUUUGAAUAGUUAACUUUUGCAUUACUACCGAACUCCAUAUCCUUUGUCGCUAGUGUAAGUGUAUUGUUGUAUCCUGCUACUUUUUCCUUAAGUAUAAUCAUAUUGGAUGGUAUUAAUAUUAAUCCGGGUGAUAUUGCCAUGUUAAGUACAACGUUAGUAUCCUUUAUCGCUUUUCUCAUGUUGGAGACGGAUACCGAUACAUC